GAUUAAGUUAUUAAGGGCACACGGUGGAUGCCUUGGCACUAGAAGCCGAUGAAGGACGUUACUAACGACGAUAUGCUUUGGGGAGCUGUAAGUAAGCUUUGAUCCAGAGAUUUCCGA
RNAcentral lists this ribosomal RNA (117 nucleotides) under Staphylococcus aureus. RNAcentral describes it as "partial 23S ribosomal RNA". It matches the Rfam family "Bacterial large subunit ribosomal RNA", at positions 1 to 117 of the family's 2925-position model. The record is from RNAcentral. Lineage: Bacteria; Bacillati; Bacillota; Bacilli; Caryophanales; Staphylococcaceae.